ACACAGCACUUGCUGGUAUCUGGUGG
RNAcentral lists this non-coding RNA (26 nucleotides) under Mus musculus (house mouse). Lineage: Eukaryota; Metazoa; Chordata; Mammalia; Rodentia; Muridae. The record is from RNAcentral.